RNAcentral lists this ribosomal RNA (604 nucleotides) under uncultured Alphaproteobacteria bacterium. Its description in RNAcentral is "bacterial SSU rRNA". It matches the Rfam family "Bacterial small subunit ribosomal RNA", at positions 8 to 646 of the family's 1533-position model. Lineage: Bacteria; Pseudomonadati; Pseudomonadota; Alphaproteobacteria. The record is from RNAcentral.
AGAGUUUGAUCCUGGCUCAGAACGAACGCUGGCGGCAGGCCUAACACAUGCAAGUCGAAGGAGAAGUUUCUCUUCGGAGAGAUGGACACUGGCGCACGGGUGAGUAACGCGUGGGGAUCUACCCCGGGGUGGGGGACAACCGCUGGAAACGGCGGCUAAUACCGCAUACGCCUUAAGAGGGAAAGCUUUAGCGCCCUGGGAUGAACCCGCGUUAGAUUAGGUAGUUGGUGGGGUAACGGCCUACCAAGCCGACGAUCUAUAGCUGGUCUGAGAGGAUGAUCAGCCACACUGGGACUGAGACACGGCCCAGACUCCUACGGGAGGCAGCAGUGGGGAAUAUUGGACAAUGGGGGCAACCCUGAUCCAGCCAUGCCGCGUGCGUGAAGAAGGCCUUAGGGUUGUAAAGCGCUUUCACUGGUGAAGAUGAUGACGGUAGCCAGAGAAGAAGCCCCGGCUAACUCCGUGCCAGCAGCCGCGGUAAUACGGAGGGGGCAAGCGUUGUUCGGAAUUACUGGGAGCAAAGGGCGCGUAGGCGGAAUAUCAAGUUAGGGGUGAAAGGCCUGGGCUCAACCUAGGAACGGCCUCUAAAACUGAUAAUCUAGAG